UCUUUGAUCGAUGGAGUACAGUAUUGAU
Molecule: small RNA, 28 nt
Filed under: Bombyx mori (domestic silkworm)
Lineage: Eukaryota; Metazoa; Arthropoda; Insecta; Lepidoptera; Bombycidae
Description: ovarian small RNA-30270
Source: RNAcentral